RNAcentral lists this ribosomal RNA (542 nucleotides) under uncultured archaeon. Its description in RNAcentral is "bacterial SSU rRNA". It matches the Rfam family "Archaeal small subunit ribosomal RNA", at positions 178 to 720 of the family's 1478-position model. The record is from RNAcentral.
CACCGAGUACUAAAGCUCCGGCGCCUAAGGAUGGGUCUGCGGCCUAUCAGGUAGUAGUGGGUGUAGCGUACCUACUAGCCUACGACGGGUACGGGUUGUGAGAGCAAGAGCCCGGAGAUGGAUUCUGAGACACGAAUCCAGGCCCUACGGGGUGCAGCAGGCGCGAAAACUUUACAAUGCUGGCAACAGCGAUAAGGGGACCUCGAGUGCCAGGUUACAAAUCUGGCUGUCGUGAUGCCUAAAAAGCAUUGCAUAGCAAGGGCCGGGCAAGACCGGUGCCAGCCGCCGCGGUAACACCGGCGGCUCGAGUGGUAACCGUUAUUAUUGGGUCUAAAGGGUCUGUAGCCGGCCGGGUAAGUCUCUUGGGAAAAUCUGGCAGCUUAACUGUCGGGCUUUCAGGAGAUACUGCUCGGCUCGAGGCCGGGAGAGGUGAGAGGUACUUCAGGGGUAGGGGUGAAAUCUUGUAAUCCUUGAAGGACCACCAGUGGCGAAGGCGUCUCACCAGAACGGACCUGACGGCAAGGGACGAAAGCUAGGGGCAC